UUUGUGACUGAGUGGCUGACGGGUGAGUAACGCGUGGGUAACCUGCCUCAUACAGGGGGAUAACAGUUAGAAAUGACUGCUAAUACCGCAUAAGACCACAGGAUUGCAUGAUCCGGUGGUAAAAACUCCGGUGGUAUGAGAUGGACCCGCGUCUGAUUAGGUAGUUGGUGGGGUAACGGCUCACCAAGCCGACGAUCAGUAGCCGACCUGAGAGGGUGACCGGCCACAUUGGGACUGAGACACGGCCCAAACUCCUACGGGAGGCAGCAGUGGGGAAUAUUGCACAAUGGGGGAAACCCUGAUGCAGCGACGCCGCGUGAGCGAUGAAGUAUUUCGGUAUGUAAAGCUCUAUCAGCAGGGAAGAAAAUGACGGUACCUGACUAAGAAGCACCGGCUAAAUACGUGCCAGCAGCCGCGGUAAUACGUAUGGUGCAAGCGUUAUCCGGAUUUACUGGGUGUAAAGGGAGCGUAGACGGAGAGGCAAGUCUGAUGUGAAAACCCGGGGCUCAACCCCGGGACUGCAUUGGAAACUGUUUUUCUAGAGUGUCGGAGAGGUAAGUGGAAUUCCUAGUGUAGCGGUG
RNAcentral lists this ribosomal RNA (581 nucleotides) under uncultured Lachnospiraceae bacterium. Its description in RNAcentral is "bacterial SSU rRNA". It matches the Rfam family "Bacterial small subunit ribosomal RNA", at positions 84 to 683 of the family's 1533-position model. Lineage: Bacteria; Bacillati; Bacillota; Clostridia; Lachnospirales; Lachnospiraceae. The record is from RNAcentral.